AUGCAGCAGAUCAACAAGAAGUCGCCAAGACCGGUUAGUGCACCUGCACCGAGACCAAAAUGUUGGCUACCUCCGGACCAAGGGUGUGCCAAAGUUAACGUGGAUGCAACGCUAUCGAGAAGAGGCACAUAUGGUUCGGUUGCUGCUAUGUGUAGGGACCAACAUGGUCUGUUCCUUGGAGCUUCGGUCAUUGGUUUCAGGCAAAUCAAUGAUCCUCAAACACUCGAAUCCCUGUCCAUAAGGGAAGCACUAGCUUUGGCGGAGGACUUGUACGUUCAAAGCAUUCAUGUGGGAUCCGAUUGCAAGACGGUGGUAUAAGAUAUACAGAGGGGUACUUCAGCUUCAUAUGGCGUGGUGAUACAUGAAAUCAUAGAACAUUCUGCCAGCGUUCAAUUUUGUAAAAUAGUCCAUGAAUUUAGGAGCUCAAAUUUUGAGGCUCACAACUUAGCGAAGCAUGCUUUAUCUCUCGGGAGUGGCCGCCAUGUCUGGUUAGGCCAUCCUGGAGAUCUUUCUUUCGUCCCUGUAAACAUUGUGACGGGUUAA
Molecule: ribosomal RNA, 543 nt
Filed under: Triticum aestivum (bread wheat)
Lineage: Eukaryota; Viridiplantae; Streptophyta; Magnoliopsida; Poales; Poaceae
Description: partial small subunit ribosomal RNA
Source: RNAcentral